RNAcentral lists this ribosomal RNA (1239 nucleotides) under uncultured organism. RNAcentral's name for it is "bacterial SSU rRNA". It matches the Rfam family "Bacterial small subunit ribosomal RNA", at positions 62 to 1275 of the family's 1533-position model. The record is from RNAcentral.
UCGAACGCGAACGGCUCCUUCGGGAGCCUAGUAGAGUGGCAAACGGGUGAGUAACGCGUGGGUAACGUACCCUGAUCCUGGGAAUAACCCUCGGAAACGAGGGCUAAUACCGAAUGUGGCGAACGACCGGUUGGUCGCUCGCUAAAGGUGGCCUCUUCUAUGCUGCCGGGUUGGGAUCGGCCCGCGUCCCAUUAGCUAGUUGGUGAGGUAACGGCUCACCAAGGCCACGAUGGGUAGCCGGCCUGAGAGGGUGUACGGCCACACUGGCACUGAGACAAGGGCCAGUCCCCUAUGGGAGGCGCAGGCGGGAAUAGUUCACAAUGGGCGAAAGCCUGAUGACGCGACGCCGCGUGAGCGAAGAAGACCUUCGGGUUGUAAAGCUCUGUCAGGAGGGAAGAAGGCUCUACGGGUUAAUAGCCCGUGGAAUUGACGGUACCUCCAGAGGAAGCCCCGGCUAAAUACGUGCCAGCAGCCGCGGUAAUACGUAUGGGGCAAGCGUUGUCCGGAUUUACUGGGCGUAAAGGGCGCGUAGGCGGUUUGUUAAGUCGAAGGUGAAAUCCUCGGGCUCAACUCGAGAAUUGCCUUCGAUACUGGCAAACUAGAGUGGCGGAGAGGAAAGCGGAACUCUUGGUGUAACGGUGGAAUGUGUAGAUAUCAAGAGGAACACCGGUGGCGAAGGCGGCUUUCUGGACGCACACUGACGCUCAGGCGCGAAAGCGUGGGUAGCAAACAGGAUUAGAUACCCCUGGUAGUCCACUCCAUGAACCGAUGGGUACUAGGUGUCCGGGGGUAUCGACCCCUCCGGGGCCGCAGUUAACGCACUAAGUACCCCGCCUUGGGGAUUCUGGUCGCAAGGCUGAAACUCGAAGGAAUUGACGGGGCCCCGCACAACCGGUGGACCAUGUGGUUAAAUUCGAAGCAAGGCGAAGGAACCUUACCUGGGCUUGACAUGCUUGGGACAGCGCUGGAAACAGCGUCUCUCCUUCGGGAGCCCUUGCACAGGUGCUGCAUGGCUGUCGUCAGCUCGUGUCGUGAGAUGUUGGGUUAAGUCCCGCAACGAGCGCAACCCUCGUUACUAGUUGCCAUCAGUUCGNCUGGGCACUCUAGUGAGACUGCCGGUGAUAACCCGGAGGAAGGUGAGGAUGAUGUCAAGUCAUCAUGGCCCUUACGCCCAGGGCUACACACGUGCUACAAUGGUCGGCACAAAGGGUCGCUAAGCCGCGAGGUGGAGCUAAUCCC